Molecule: ribosomal RNA, 253 nt
Filed under: uncultured bacterium
Lineage: Bacteria
Description: partial 16S ribosomal RNA
Rfam family: Bacterial small subunit ribosomal RNA
Source: RNAcentral
UACGUAGGGCGCAAGCGUUGUCCGGAAUUAUUGGGCGUAAAGAGCUCGUAGGCGGUUUGUCGCGUCUGUCGUGAAAGCUUGGGGCUUAACCCCAAGUCUGCGGUGGAUACGGGCAGACUAGAGGCAGGUAGGGGAGAACGGAAUUCCCGGUGUAGCGGUGAAAUGCGCAGAUAUCGGGAGGAACACCGGUGGCGAAGGCGGUUCUCUGGGCCUGUACUGACGCUGAGGUGCGAAAGCGUGGGGAGCGAACAGG